Molecule: long non-coding RNA, 2468 nt
Organism: Eriocheir sinensis (Chinese mitten crab)
Lineage: Eukaryota; Metazoa; Arthropoda; Malacostraca; Decapoda; Varunidae
Exons: 7
Source: RefSeq, a predicted model, not a curated record
CAUACGGAACCCGGAGUUUAACAUCAGACCUCCCUUUCCGCAAGCUAUCAGUCAGUACGAAGCGGAUACCAGGGGAAGGAGGGCGCUAGACUGCCAGAGAAGGACUCCAGGGCUAUAGAAAUUACACGAUUGGACGCAAGGCCAUUGCUGGAGAUGUAUACCGGGGCCAGUUCUGGUGACGUCGAAGCCCCUCGCUAUUACACCGAUAUGGCCGAGCAGGGAGACGCCCGCCGCCGACGUGCCGACACCGCGACUAUUGAUGACCUUGACGAAGAGCCCGUGGAAGUCCGUCAGCUGUGUUUUUAUCACUCUAUGAAGCGCAAGGUGGAGGGAUUAGUGCGGUUUGCGAGGCGGUUGUUUAUGCUCGCUGUGGUGGUGGUGGUGGUGGUGCACAUCCUCGGUUUGCUGGUCAACUUUCGUGUCCUCGGACAGUCCGAGAGACCAACGAAGGAUGCUCCCCGAGGAUCCUACCGCUCUAUCUACCUGAGUGGCAUUAGAGCGUUCAUCUUCCUCUUGUGCCAGGUGGGGAUCGCUGUGGACCACGUGCUGAAGGUGUGCGAGAUGAUUCCCUUCUUCUAUGGGUGGGUCAUCCUCAUCUUCUUCCUGCGAGGAUUGGUGAAGACGGUGCUGGACAUAACUGUGAUAAGAUGGACUCGCGCGUUAUUCCGUGCAAGUGUGGGAGUACUAUUGAGACGGUAAUGUGGAAACUCGAAUCCCAAAGAAGCUCUCCUAGCAUGACGACUUGGCGUGGACACGGAAAUGGCUGAGGACGAGAACGAGGAUUUUUUAAGUGGAUAGUCAACAACUGUCUGAAGUCUCCAUAAGUCAUCGGGUGAGGCGGUCGUCAUGCUGGCGUGGCCCGCCCCUCCUGGUGUGACCGGGGACUGGACGGCAAGAGCGGAAGACCAAUACCAACAAGUUGUAAUGAGGGCCGGACACCACCUCGCCGCUGCCCCACGCCUGUAUCGCAAGCACACCACUCGCUGCUCACAACGUCACCUUGCUGCCUCAUGCGACCAGCUCGUGUGCGAUGAGUUCUGCUCUCCGACAAGACUGACAUCAACCAUAUCAGUCAACAGAAGUGGAAGUAUUUUAGACUCGCCUUAUACAGGUUCUUUUAGAUUAAUAUUACAGUUCUUAAGGCUUAGAAUGAUGGUCAACAUUUUAAAGUGGAAGAGGCAUAGUUUUAUAAGAUUUUGCUAAUGUUUAAGUGGUUUGCCUUUAAUCUUAAUACGGUAAAGAAACUGAAGGAAGCGUACUCAGUUUUUGCCAUCGAUAUCUUUUAUGAGUUUGCUUUCAUUAUCUGUGGAGGGUAAUUUUAAGUGGAAUGAGGAUAGUUUUAUCUUAGUAAUUUUAAGAGCUCUAGAUUAGUUUAUUAAGUACUUUUAAUUUGUACAGGUAUAGUCGGCUAUAAUAAUAUCAAACACCUCACAUGGAUUGAUUGAAGAGAAUUGGAACAAAAUCUAUGGGCAUGUGUUGUGUUGGUUAGGGGGUACCAAGGGUAGAGCGUCCACUGGUACUCUCCUACCAACAACACAAAGGCUACAUUGGUUUUGCUCAAAUUCUAUUCAACCGACCCAUGGAUGCUGGAUAUUGUUUUAGCCAUCCGUACAUAUUUUUUCUAAUUUCAAUACUAAAGCUCCAAAUUUUAGACUGUAAGCGCAAGCAGGCUAGAUUAGUUUGAUUUUAGACUGUUCCCUUCAGCGUCAUACAAGAUUAAGCCUAACUAAUACGAGUCGGGUUAACCCAGCCAGAACCAAUCUUGCCCCAUGCAUCUGCCUCGCCUGUACGGGGGUUUAAGUUGAGACUCGGCCUGUCCAACCCAACCUCAUCUCAGGGGGUAACUACGUCUAGUAUAACCCGGCACAGGUCUUGACGACGGUCCUGUGCCGGGCUAGAUCAAAGACGUUGUUACCCCCAGUCAAGAUGAGGCUGGGCUAGUCUCACUUUUAACCUCCAUACAGGCGAGGCUUGUGCUGAACCAAAUUUUAGAUUAUAACUGUAAACAGGCUAGAUAACUGUUUUCAGACUACACCAUCAUCAUUCCAGAAAAGAACAAACUAAGGAGUGUGUUGUUCAGUCUACCCAGCCAGGACUUGAACCACUUGCAGCUGCACGGGGUCGAAAGUGACACACCCUGCCCGACCCAACCUCAUCUCGACUGGGGGGUAACUACGUCUAAUCUACCCAGGCACAGGUUUUGGUGACAGGCCUGUGCCGGGGUAAAUUAAAGACAUGGUUACCCCCAGUGAAGAUGAGGCUGGGCGAGACAGGGUGAGUCUGUACCCUUUUAAACUCCGUACAGGCGAGGCUUGCACUGCGCUAGGGACUAGAGUCCUGGCUGGGUUGCCGAUAUAGAUAAGUUUAUUACGUACUUUUAUAUUGUACUCGAGUUUGCUACUAAUAAUACAUAUACUAUACUUUUAUAUUGUACUCAAGUUUACUACUAAUACAUAUACUAGUGUAUC